Molecule: unclassified non-coding RNA, 327 nt
Filed under: soil metagenome
Description: partial contains 5.8S ribosomal RNA, internal transcribed spacer 2, and large subunit ribosomal RNA
Rfam family: 5.8S ribosomal RNA (bases 1-120)
Source: RNAcentral
GAUGAAGAACGUAGCGAAAUGCGAUAACUAGUGUGAAUUGCAGAUUUCAGUGAAUCAUCGAGUCUUUGAACGCACAUUGCGCCCCUUGGUAUUCCGAGGGGCAUGCCUGUUCGAGCGUCAUUUUGACCACUCCCGCUUGCGGGGUCUUGGGCCUUCGCCUCUGGGCGGGCCUUAAAAUCAGUGGCGGUGCCGUCCGGCUCUAAGCGUAGUAAAUCUCCUCGCUAUAGGGUUCCGGAGGGAUGCUGGCCAACAACCCCCAACUUUUAAGGUUGACCUCGGAUCAGGUAGGGAUACCCGCUGAACUUAAGCAUAUCAAUAAGCGGAGGA